RNAcentral lists this unclassified non-coding RNA (246 nucleotides) under uncultured fungus. RNAcentral's name for it is "sequence contains ITS2". The record is from RNAcentral. Lineage: Eukaryota; Fungi.
AACGCACAUUGCGCCCGCCAGCACUCUGGCGGGCAUGCCUGUUCGAGCGUCAUUUCAACCAUCAAGCCCCAGGCUUGCGUUGGAGCCCUGCGGCUGCCGCAGCCUCCCAAAAACAGUGGCGGGCUCGCUAUCACACCGAGUGCAGUAGAUUACUCUUCGCUCAGGGCGUGUGGCGGGUUCCAGCCGUGAAACCCCCUACUUCUCAAGGUUGACCUCGGAUCAGGUAGGAAUACCCGCUGAACUUAA